Molecule: long non-coding RNA, 920 nt
Organism: Thunnus maccoyii (southern bluefin tuna)
Lineage: Eukaryota; Metazoa; Chordata; Actinopteri; Scombriformes; Scombridae
Exons: 3
Source: RefSeq, a predicted model, not a curated record
UAUUAUAUUGCAAAGUAGAGUCAAGUAUAUCAAUAUAUCACAUCACGUGUAUCAUCUCUCUGCUAUCAGUCUGCUGAUGUGACAAAAUGUUUCCUAUAUCCUCUGUGGUUAGCUAGUUCCUGUCUUGGUUUUUGAUUGUACAAGUGCACAUGCACAGACAAAUUUGAGGUAACAGACGGCAGUGGUGGAACUCAGUCAGCUGGAGAAACUUUGGUGGUCUGAGUUCUUCACUUGAAGUUUGGAGGAGGAGAAGAAGAGGGAGACAGAGGGUGAUGAUGAUGGCUAGGAUGAACAUUUACCUGCUGAUGUGGCUUGUCGCUGCUGCAGUCAUUUUAUCAAGGGGAGAUGACACUGAAAUGGAUGAUGAAGAUAUGAAUAGCAGUGGUGAAUCAAUUUCCUCCUCAGACAUUUCAGCGGGGGAAGAUGAUAACAAUUUAAAACAUGACACUUCCACUGAUGCCUUUUCGUCGCCUUCCUCUACAGCUAACCGCAACCAACAUGUGGUUUAUGCUCUCAUUUGUGCUCUCUUAAUUUCUUGCAUGUUCACAUAUUAACAAACACAUAUCACAUAUUAAAGAGCAUUUUAUGAUGAUUCUUGUGAUGCUAUUUUCUGGAAAUGUAUACUUUUAUAUAAACAGUAAAAUCUUAAAACUAGUUAAGUGAAAAAGCAGAUUUUAUACUGUUUGCAGAUGAUGUCACAUAUUUUCUCUGAUCAGUCUCUGAUAAAACAUUGCAAAGUCACUCUGUAACCACAAGUUAAAGCACUUCCUUCAGAGGAAUUGAAAACUUCUCUCUGUAUAUAAGCAAAAACAGUAGAUUGAAUUUUGUUUUAAGCUUGAUCUCAUUUCUGAGUUUAUAUUUUUAAUUUUGAAAAGUAAAUUAGAGUAGUUUUUGGCACAAAUUUGACUAUUUCCAGUUUG